AGCUCCAAUAGCGUAUAUUAAAGUUGCUGCAGUUAAAAAGCUCGUAGUUGCAUUUCCGAGGCAAGGGAUUAGUCCGACCUUUGGUGGGUAUUUAAUCCUCUUGCCUCGUCCUUGAGUGGUGCUUCUUGGUAUUAAGUUAUCGAGGAGAUAGCCGCUCAUCGUUUACUGUGAGAAAAUUAGAGUGUUCAAAGCAGGCUUAUGCCGUUGAAUAUAUUAGCAUGGAAUAAUAAGAUAGGUCCUCGGUACUAUUUUGUUGGUUUGAGAACCAAGGUAAUGAUGAAUAGGGACAGUUGGGAGUAUUCGUAUUCAGUUGUCAGAGGUGAAAUUCUUAGAUUUACGGAAGACGAACUACUGCGAAAGCAUUUACCAAGGAUGUUUUCA
This 381-nucleotide ribosomal RNA is filed under the name uncultured marine Chaetocerotaceae. Its description in RNAcentral is "SSU rRNA". It matches the Rfam family "Eukaryotic small subunit ribosomal RNA", at positions 587 to 972 of the family's 1831-position model. The record is from RNAcentral. Lineage: Eukaryota; Bacillariophyta; Thalassiosirophyceae; Chaetocerotales; Chaetocerotaceae.